GAUGAACGCUGGCGGCGUGCCUAAUACAUGCAAGUCGAGCGAACAGACGAGGAGCUUGCUCCUCUGACGUUAGCGGCGGACGGGUGAGUAACACGUGGAUAACCUACCUAUAAGACUGGGAUAACUUCGGGAAACCGGAGCUAAUACCGGAUAAUAUAUUGAACCGCAUGGUUCAAUAGUGAAAGACGGUUUUGCUGUCACUUAUAGAUGGAUCCGCGCCGCAUUAGCUAGUUGGUAAGGUAACGGCUUACCAAGGCAACGAUGGGUAGCCGACCUGAGAGGGUGAUCGGCCACACGGGAACUGAGACACGGUCCAGACACCUACGGGAGGCAGCAGUAGGGAAUCUUCCGCAAUGGGCGAAAGCUUGACGGAGCAACGCCGCGUGAGUGAUGAAGGUCUUCGGAUCGUAAAACUCUGUUAUUAGGGAAGAACAAAUGUGUAAGUAACUAUGCACGUCUUGACGGUACCUAAUCAGAAAGCCACGGCUAACUACGUG
Molecule: ribosomal RNA, 497 nt
Filed under: uncultured bacterium
Lineage: Bacteria
Description: partial 16S ribosomal RNA
Rfam family: Bacterial small subunit ribosomal RNA
Source: RNAcentral